AGCGAACGCUGGCGGCAGGCCUAACACAUGCAAGUCGAGCGGGCAUCCCGGGUGUGUCGGCGGCCGACGGGUGAGUGACGCGUGAGAACGUGCCAUGCGCGUCGUAAUAACCCGGGGGAAGUGCAAAUAAUACCGGAUACCUUCGAGAGCAGGAAGGAUUUUCUGCCGAAGGAUCGGCCCGCGUCUGAUUAGCUAGUUGGUAAGGUUAUGGCUCACCAAGGCGACGAUCAGUAGCUGGUCUGAGAGGAUGAUCAGCCACACUGGGACUGAGACACGGCCCAGACUCCUACGGGAGGCAGCAGUGGGGAAUAUUGGACAAUGGGGGAAAGCCUGAUCCAGCCAUGCCGCGUGAGUGAUGAAGGCCUUAGGGUUGUAAAGCUCUUUUCUCCGGGACGAUAAUGACGGUACCGGGAGAAUAAGCCCCGGCUAACUUCGUG
This 437-nucleotide ribosomal RNA is filed under the name uncultured bacterium. Its description in RNAcentral is "partial 16S ribosomal RNA". It matches the Rfam family "Bacterial small subunit ribosomal RNA", at positions 29 to 507 of the family's 1533-position model. The record is from RNAcentral.